Oryza sativa Japonica Group (Japanese rice) is the source of this 2323-nucleotide non-coding RNA. The record is from RefSeq and is a predicted model, not a curated record. Lineage: Eukaryota; Viridiplantae; Streptophyta; Magnoliopsida; Poales; Poaceae.
UCCUCAACUAGAAGGCUGAAGAAUGGAGGCGAAAGAACCGCAAUUUCGACCUCUUUCACCUUCUCAAGUCUGCCCCUACUCCAACUAACUCAAUCGUCGUCAGCGGAGGAAAAUUCCCAGAAACCCUAAUACCGGCACCAUUGAUUGAACUUCAAAAUUCGUCGCAUACAUCGUCAAUCCUCUGAAAUCGAAGAAAACGCUGACGUUGGUUCGGUAGUCGAAGCGAGUGAAAUCUCCGCGCCAGGAGGAGACGGUUUGUACGACUACAUCGAACCCGAAGGUUGCAAGACAUGCACCCUCCUUUGAACAAUUUAAUCCUAGUAGAUAGGGAGCUAUUUUAGUAGUGUACUUGUCCUUUGGAGUACGAUAGAUUGAGCGAAUUCUUUUAAAUUAAUUAUAUUGCUAUUAUUGCAUUAUAUUUUAUGUUGUUAUGGACGCCUUAAUGAGCCUUAGAGUCUAACCAACUUAGGAUAAAAUUUGAGAAACAUUUAAACAAACUGUUAAUUAUUUAACAUGCUAUCUAUUUAAUAUGGAUAUUAUUACUGCAUAUGAAAACAUGCUUAUGGAACUAUUUAUGGCUAUAUGCUAAGAACUGUUGACACCGCUUGUGAGCGGGUGGUACACAUGAUAGAGUUCAUGUGUUUGGUUUCAUGGACCUGUUUAUGGUCGUGAUGGAUAUGUGGAUAUAUUUAUGGUUAUUUCUUAUUUAAAAUUGAUAUAAUAAUCAACCCCCUUGUGUCAAUAAGAAUGACAUAGUUUCGCCCAUCCACACGAUCGAUUUGUCAAACCUAGCCGUAUAUUGCUCCAAUUGAUUGAACUUCUACAGGCCUUUCGGUGUACUGGCCAUUAGCUUUCAAGUGUGUGAAGCAAAGUGACAUGGUUCAUGUUUAUAUGAUUUAUAUAUGUGGGCUCGAUGGGCCCCGAGAGUUCAAAACUACCCUAUGGGUCCACGAAGUUCUGGGCUGCCCAUCGAGUAACGAACAAUGGUAAGUGGAUGCGGAGGUAGGUUGGCACACACCUCGGACCGGAUCACUCCGAGCAACAUCCCGAGCAUCCUUUAACUUACUAGGCAGAAGGGAGAGAUAUAUGUAGCAAUAUUACACCUUGUUACUUUUCAGCCCGGCCAGCUGUGGGUAUCAUGUGGGUCAAGCUGCGCAGACGCUACAGAGUCGUUGAGUAUUCAAAUAUGCCGUGCUCCCGGUUAAUGGAGAUGUGUCUAUGGGUGAUUCCAGAUUAUGGGCACAAGUUAAACUAAAUGGCUAUUAAUUAAUAUAGUUAACUUAUUUAUAUUACUUUAUGUUCUAUUCAAGUUAUUUAUAAGUAACAUUUAUACUUUUAUGCUCAUUAUUAUUGUUUAAAUUAAAUGUUCAAUAGUGUUGUUUAUAUCAAAUGUUUAUUAAGUUAGGCUCUAUGAAAUAACUGUUAAGGUUAGGGUUUAAACCUUCCAGCUCUCGAUACUGCAAGUUUUAUAUUGCAAUUAUUGUAUUUAUUAUCAUAAGCAUGUCUUGCUGAGUACCUUUUGUACUCAUAAAUGGGAUCAGAUCAUGAGGAGGAAGAUGCUUGUGGAGAACCUGUUGAUCUGUUAGAGUGGGACAGCUAUGGUUUCUAGGUCAUCAUAUGCUUAGGCAGUUCCUGUGGUGAAGUCUAGCAGUUUAUUUGUUUGUAGAAAUAAAGCUUUAUAGGCCAUAUAUGUAAUGGUUUGUAUUUAUGUUGUGUUGUGAACUAAGUGACUUAAGUAUUGUAUAAUCGAAGGUUAUGCUUUUAUAUCAUUUCAUGCGUAACUGAACAUCCUGGGCAGUUACUUAUUCGUGGGGCACCAUGACUUUAUCGGGUGUCCCCACAAUAGCCCUUUUAGACCUUCCGAUCUCCCUGUCAUCCAAGUAAAAGGGAAAAAACUUGUGUUAAAGUAUACCGGAGCCCACAUUUCUUUUGCUUCCCACAAGUUAUUCAAAGUUUGGUUUCCAUGGAGGUCAUAUUCAUCUAGCAUUUUUUUCAAAUAUGAUAGAAGCUGAUCUAUUGUUUCAAUCAUAUAUGCAUCUACACAGAGCUUCAAGGAAGCCUUUCUUUGAAGUAUACACGGGUAGGAGUUGCUGAUCUGCUUUUGUUGUCACGUGCCAAAAGCAACAUCUAUGAAUUGUACCGGGGAACACCUUUUUAAUCAUUGCUCUCAUUGCUUUAUCUCGGUCUAUCAUCACUGAACCUGACAUCUGUCCAUUCAUUGCUCGCAUCCAUGUUUCAAAGACCCAUAUGAAUGUUUCAGUUGUUUCAUCACAAAUCAAAGCAUAUCCAAGCAAUAUUGUUUGCAGGUGGUUAUUAAUUCCAA